UGUGGAUAAAGUUGUUUUCAUUUUUUUCUUUUACAAAUAAUAAUGUGAUGAAGAUCUUUGUAGGUUAUCAAGACUUCAUAUAAUUUUUUGAAAGAUCCUAGAAAAAGAUGGAUCAAGUUCAAAAGUAUUUUUAAAGUUAUUUACAUAUUUUGUCAAAUUAUUCUCCAGAGAAGUUGUACUACUUUUCCCUCCCUUGUACACAAGACUGUGCAAGAGCCAUCAACGCUUCUCGACCUAAAUAUUAACAUUAAAGAUAUUUUGGACCAAUUUAAUGGUGAAUGUUAUCUUAUUUUAAUAGUACCAAAGGAUAAGUACAAGAUUCUGCAUUGUGGGGAGAUUGCGAGACAAAUGAACUUUUAAAAGAUAUUUGGGAACAGACGAAAUGGCCUGCUCUGCUGAGAAACUGAAAGGGCUUGAGACCCAGAGUGAAGCGAAAGGAAAAUAAAAUAGCACUUUGGGAUGGAAAGGGGACGCCAGCACACCCCAGGUCUGUACCCCUGGCCUCGCAGUCUUCGGGGUCCCUGACAGGCAGUAGGGCUCAAAAGGAAGCCAAGUGCAGCUGCAGGGGGCUUCUCUCCGAGGGUCGCCCCGCAGUCUCUGGGUUAUGAUCCCCACGCGAGUACCUGGGAGUUCCCAGCCAUUCGGCCCCUACAGAAGGACCAGGCAGAGGAAUUUCUGAUUCAUGUGUUUUUCCGUGGGAUGCCAGAAAGGGAGUUUUGAGAGCUCCUACACCAGCUUAGCUUGGGAGCCCCUACGCAACAACCAUCCAGGUCCCGGAAGAUGCCAGCUCUGCCUGGCGCCCGCAGCCCAGAUCUCCUGCCCGGAGUACGGGGGCGCGGGCGCAGCCACCAAAGCUGAAAUGUGACCGCGUCCCGGUCCCUUCCUGCUCUGGGGCGCGAAGCUGCCAAGAAACCGGCUGCGGUCUCCAGGAGGGGCCAGGAGGCAAAAUGGAAGGAAGCGCUGGAUCUCCGCGGCGGAAGUCAUUCUUAUGCCCUGCCAAAGGGUAGAGGGCAGCAACCGACUUGUGCGAAAGGAGGGAACGUGUGGGUCUGCCAGGGUCCUGCAGGGGGGAUGAGACCCUCGCUCCGCUCCGGCGAUCCCUUCGCUCUCCACCCUCGGCCAGCCCCUCCUGUCCUCCAUCAGGCCUCGCUGAGGAUACCUCCUGGGUUCCAAAGCGCGAGUUGAACCUGAGCUUGACAUUCAUUCCGUCUCGUACAAAAGCCAUGCCUGCGGGGAGAGGGAGAAAAUUUCCUACAGGAGCCUCAAGACUGCGUUUCAGGAAGCCCUAGGACCCACUGAUCCUGCAGCUGCGCCUCUCACUCGCCUCAGGUCCUGAGCUGGAACGAUGGAAUCUAGCAGAAGUUGCCUUUCCAGAUUCAAACGGCUUCUAUGUGAGUUCCUGAAUCAUAACUUCUUCCUGUCCAUGUGCCCAGUUCCCAGGCUAGGCUAAGGGUGGAUUCACACAAAAGAAAUUAGUAGAAGAAAGAAUUUUGCUAAAUUUCUUUUCAGAAAGACUUUACUCAUUUAUCAGCAAUAAAUAGUAUCUGUUAUGAGUUAAAUUGUGUCUCCAAAAAGAUAUGCUGGGGUAAUAGCCACUGGGAACUUUGAAUGUAAUCUUAUUUGGAAAUAGGGUCUUUGCUAAUAUUAUCAAAUUAAGAUGAAGUCAUAUCAAAUUAAGUAUGACUGUCCUUAUAAGAGGAGAAGAGACACAGACACAGAGGAAAGACUGCCAUAUGAAGAUGGGGCAAGGAUUGGAGUUACAUUGCUACAAGCCAAGGAAUGCCUGGCACUACCAGAAGCUGGAGGAGACAAGGGAGGAUUAAUGUCCUUUAGGAGCUUCAAAGGAAAUAUGUCCCUCUCAACAACUUGACUUCUAAUGUUGUGAUGGUUAAUACUGAGUGUCAACUUGAUUGGGUUGAAGGAUACAAAGUAUUGAUCCUGGGUGUGUCUGUGCCAAAGGAGAUUAACAUUUGAGUCAGUGGGAUGGAAAGGCAGACGCACCCUUAAUCUGGGUGGGCAAAAUCUAAGCUGCUAGCAUGACUAGAAUAUAAGCAGGCAGAAAAAUGUGAAAAAGAGAGACUGGCCUAGACUCCCAGCCUACGUCUUUAUCCUGUGCUAGAUGCAUCCUGUCCUUGAACAUCAGACUCUUAAGUCCUUCAAUUUUGGAACUCACACUGGCUCUCCUUGCUCCUCAGCCUGCAGACAGCCUAUUGUGGGACCUUGUGAUCAUGUGAGUUAAUACUUAAUGAACUUAAUAAUAAAUUAAUAUUUAUAUAUUAAUACAUAAUGGAAUAUAUAUUCCAUUAGUUCUAUCCCUCUACAGAAUCCUAUUAGAAUGUCAAACUCUUAAAAACAUUGUUUUUUUUUUUUUUUUUUAGAGACGGUCUUGUUCUGUCACCCAGGUUUGAAUGCAGUGGCAUGAUCAUAACUAAAUGCAACCUCAAACUCCCCAGCUCAAGAGAUCCUUCCACUUCAGCCUCCCGAGUAGCUAGGACUACAGUCAUGCGCCACCACAGCCAGCUAAAUUUAUUUUUUUGUAAAGACAGUCUUUCAAUGUUGCCCAGACUGGUCUCAAACUCUUUGUCCCAAGUGACUCUCCUGCCUCGACCUCCCAAAGUGUUGGGAUUACAGGCGUGAGCCACCAUGUUAAAUGAGAAAAUAAAUUUACGCAGUUUUAAGCCAUCCAGCUUGUGAUACGUUGUUAUGGGAGCCCUAGGAAAUUAAUACACCAUUAUUUUCAAAGUGCUGCUAAUUUAUAAGACAACAUUGGUUUUUAAUUGUUCUGAUUUUCAAAAAUAUCUGCUGACUUAAAAUAUGAAGAUUGUAUUCAAGUGUUCUGAUUUUCAUUGAAGUUAAAAAUUUGUCUUAAAUACUAGACAUUUACUUCUAUCAAUUUUCUCACAAUGUUUUUAUACCUUUUUCUCAGUUAUUGUAACAUUAGUGUUCUUUUUAAUCAAUAUAUUAUGAAUGUCACUUUUUAUCCAUCACAUUAAUUACAAAUGUUUUUCUCUAGUUUUUGGUUUCCUAUAACUUACUUCCUAAAUAUAUAAAAUAAACAGAAAUAAUUUUAUGUGUGUAGAAUAUUUUUACUUAAGAAGAAUAGAUUGUCAAAUUA
Molecule: long non-coding RNA, 3115 nt
Filed under: Homo sapiens (human)
Lineage: Eukaryota; Metazoa; Chordata; Mammalia; Primates; Hominidae
Description: HSALNT0057023
Source: RNAcentral